GCCUCGUUGGCACAGUCGGCAUUGCGUCAGUCUCAUAAUCUGAAGGUCGUGAGUUCGAGCCUCACAAGAGGCA
This is a non-coding RNA of Strongylocentrotus purpuratus (purple sea urchin), 73 nucleotides long. NCBI's taxonomy places the organism in Eukaryota, Metazoa, Echinodermata, Echinoidea, Camarodonta, Strongylocentrotidae. The record is from Rfam.